This 447-nucleotide ribosomal RNA is filed under the name uncultured bacterium. Its description in RNAcentral is "bacterial SSU rRNA". It matches the Rfam family "Bacterial small subunit ribosomal RNA", at positions 331 to 794 of the family's 1533-position model. The record is from RNAcentral.
CCAGACUCCUACGGGAGGCAGCAGUGGGGGAUAUUGCACAAUGGGGGGAACCCUGAUGCAGCGACGCCGCGUGGGUGAAGGAGUGCUUCGGCAUGUAAAGCCCUAUCGGCAGGGAAGAAGCAAGACGGUACCUGACUAAGAAGCCCCGGCUAACUACGUGCCAGCAGCCGCGGUAAUACGUAGGGGGCGAGCGUUAUCCGGAUUCACUGGGUGUAAAGGGGGCGCAGACGGCGAUGCAAGCCAGGAGUGAAAGCCCGGGGCCCAACCCCGGGACUGCUCUUGGAACUGCGUGGCUAGAGUGCAGGAGGGGCAGGCGGAAUUCCUGGUGUAGCGGUGAAGUGCGUAGAUAUUAGGAGGAACACCAGUGGCGAAGGCGGUCAACUGGACAGCAACUGACGCUGAGGCGCGAAAGCGUGGGGAGCAAACAGGAUUAGAUACCCGGGUAGC